This 67-nucleotide transfer RNA is filed under the name Marmota monax (woodchuck). RNAcentral describes it as "tRNA.Ala". The record is from RNAcentral. Lineage: Eukaryota; Metazoa; Chordata; Mammalia; Rodentia; Sciuridae.
GGUUGUGGCUCAGUGGUAGAGCGCUUGUGUAGCACAUGUGAGGCACUGGGUUCGAUCCUCAGCACCA